AGGAAUUUUGAGAGUGAAACAAAUCAAUAAAGACUGGUUCUUUGUAGAACAUAACUCACCGUUAUCCCUGCCCCUUUCUCUGAUUUGAUGUCUCUCUUCUCUGCUGUUGUCUGUGUACCAGCCAUAGGGAAAAGCUGGAAACCCCACAGAACUACCUUUCUUCAGUGGAUAGAGCGGCUGACUUAGUGGCUUCAAGAGCCUGUACACUGACUACAUUAAGCGACCUGCGGAAGGGAGAAAACUCUUUCCAGAAGUAGCCUGUGGACUCCCUUUGGCCAGCGUGGGCUCACACCGCCAUGCGUUAGAUGCAAGAGAGGCUGGUG
Long non-coding RNA from Myotis myotis, 323 nucleotides. RefSeq lists it as uncharacterized. The record is from RefSeq and is a predicted model, not a curated record. Lineage: Eukaryota; Metazoa; Chordata; Mammalia; Chiroptera; Vespertilionidae. The transcript has 3 exons.